AAGGUUGUAGCUCAGUUGGUAGCUCCCGAAAGUGAAACUUUUGGGAGCCGAAGAAGAGCAUUAGCUUCCCAAGCUAAGGGUCACGGGUUCGAGUCCCGCUUACC
This 104-nucleotide transfer RNA is filed under the name Bacteroides sp. RNAcentral describes it as "tRNA-Gly". It matches the Rfam family "tRNA". Rfam says of the family: Transfer RNA (tRNA) molecules are approximately 80 nucleotides in length. Their secondary structure includes four short double-helical elements and three loops (D, anti-codon, and T loops). The record is from RNAcentral. Lineage: Bacteria; Pseudomonadati; Bacteroidota; Bacteroidia; Bacteroidales; Bacteroidaceae. RNAcentral also lists the same sequence under 2 other names.